This 166-nucleotide microRNA precursor is filed under the name Oryza brachyantha (malo sina). RNAcentral describes it as "MIR812 microRNA precursor family". It matches the Rfam family "MIR812 microRNA precursor family", at positions 27 to 190 of the family's 205-position model. The record is from Rfam by way of RNAcentral. Lineage: Eukaryota; Viridiplantae; Streptophyta; Magnoliopsida; Poales; Poaceae.
UAUAAUGUUUUGAAUCUUCGUCUUAUUUGAAAUUUUUUUGCGAUUAAUAUUUUUGUUCUUACUAGAUGAUAAAAUAUGAAUAGUACUUUAUGCAUGACUAAUUUUUUUAAGUUUGUUACAAAUUUUUCAAAUAAGAUGAAUGGUCAAACAUUGAGCACGGAAAAAC